GGGCCCGCACAAGCGGUGGAGCAUGUGGUUUAAUUCGAUGCAACGCGAAGAACCUUACCUGGUCUUGACAUACACAGAAUCUUGUAGAGAUACGAGAGUGCCUUCGGGAAUUGUGAUACAGGUGCUGCAUGGCUGUCGUCAGCUCGUGUCGUGAGAUGUUGGGUUAAGUCCCGCAACGAGCGCAACCCUUGUCCUUAGUUACCAGCGGGUUAAGCCGGGAACUCUAAGGAUACUGCCAGUGACAAACUGGAGGAAGGCGGGGACGACGUCAAGUCAUCAUGGCCCUUACGACCAGGGCUACACACGUGCUACAAUGGUAGGUACAGAGGGCAGCUACACAGCGAUGUG
Molecule: ribosomal RNA, 348 nt
Filed under: uncultured bacterium
Lineage: Bacteria
Description: bacterial SSU rRNA
Rfam family: Bacterial small subunit ribosomal RNA
Source: RNAcentral